RNAcentral lists this ribosomal RNA (301 nucleotides) under uncultured bacterium. Its description in RNAcentral is "partial 16S ribosomal RNA". It matches the Rfam family "Bacterial small subunit ribosomal RNA", at positions 509 to 807 of the family's 1533-position model. The record is from RNAcentral.
CAGCAGCCGCGGUAAUACAGAGGGUGCAAGCGUUAAUCGGAAUUACUGGGCGUAAAGCGUGCGCAGGCGGUUAUAUAAGACAGAUGUGAAAUCCCCGGGCUCAACCUGGGAACUGCAUUUGUGACUGUAUAGCUAGAGUACGGCAGAGGGGGAUGGAAUUCCGCGUGUAGCAGUGAAAUGCGUAGAUAUGCGGAGGAACACCGAUGGCGAAGGCAAUCCCCUGGGCCUGUACUGACGCUCAUGCACGAAAGCGUGGGGAGCAAACAGGAUUAGAUACCCGCGUAGUCCCUGUCUCUUAUAC